Molecule: long non-coding RNA, 289 nt
Filed under: Helianthus annuus (common sunflower)
Lineage: Eukaryota; Viridiplantae; Streptophyta; Magnoliopsida; Asterales; Asteraceae
Description: hypothetical non coding rna
Source: RNAcentral
UUUUAUUCGGCUAGUGUGGCGUAAGAGAGCUUUAGCUUUUAACUUGUCACACAGUUUAUAGAACACAUGUUUUUCCAUCCGGAAAUUCUCUAGAAAACGCUCGUUAGAACCGUUGAGAACUUCAUCUACAAACUUUGUACCGUUAGCAGAGGUAGGAGUCGAUUCGUUGCCUGUGGAUUUCUCGUUAACAUGAUCCUUUUCGUCAUCGGAGCUCUCCAUGGCGCACAAAAUCCUGCACUACGAUACGAUGAAAGGGGAUAGACAGAAACAGCUAGGGUUUCGGUUACGC